UACGUAGGGUGCAAGCGUUGUCCGGAAUUAUUGGGCGUAAAGAGCUCGUAGGCGGUCUGUCGCGUCUGCUGUGAAAACCUAGGGCUUAACUCUGGGCGUGCAGUGGGUACGGGCAGGCUAGAGUGCGGUAGGGGAGACUGGAAUUCCUGGUGUAGCGGUGAAAUGCGCAGAUAUCGGGAGGAACACCAGUAGCGAAGGCGGCACUCUGGGCCGGUACUGACGCUGAGGAGCGAAAGCGUGGGGAGCAAACAGG
RNAcentral lists this ribosomal RNA (253 nucleotides) under uncultured bacterium. RNAcentral describes it as "partial 16S ribosomal RNA". It matches the Rfam family "Bacterial small subunit ribosomal RNA", at positions 524 to 776 of the family's 1533-position model. The record is from RNAcentral.